CUGUGAGCAGGCAUCUUCCUAGCCUACAUGUAGAUCCAGGAAUCUGCAGGCUGGUUAGAUGGUUGUCACAUGU
RNAcentral lists this microRNA precursor (73 nucleotides) under Gasterosteus aculeatus (three-spined stickleback). RNAcentral describes it as "mir-456 microRNA precursor family". It matches the Rfam family "mir-456 microRNA precursor family". The record is from Rfam by way of RNAcentral. Lineage: Eukaryota; Metazoa; Chordata; Actinopteri; Perciformes; Gasterosteidae.